UACGGAGGGGGCUAGCGUUGUUCGGAAUUACUGGGCGUAAAGCGCACGUAGGCGGCUUUGCAAGUUAGAGGUGAAAGCCCGGGGCUCAACUCCGGAAUUGCCUUUAAAACUGCAUCGCUAGAAUUGUGGAGAGGUAAGUGGAAUUCCGAGUGUAGAGGUGAAAUUCGUAGAUAUUCGCAAGAACACCAGUGGCGAAGGCGGCUCACUGGCCCGAUACUGACGCUGAGGUGCGAAAGCGUGGGGAGCAAACAGG
RNAcentral lists this ribosomal RNA (253 nucleotides) under uncultured bacterium. RNAcentral describes it as "partial 16S ribosomal RNA". It matches the Rfam family "Bacterial small subunit ribosomal RNA", at positions 524 to 776 of the family's 1533-position model. The record is from RNAcentral.